Molecule: ribosomal RNA, 430 nt
Filed under: Pseudomonadota bacterium
Lineage: Bacteria; Pseudomonadati; Pseudomonadota
Description: Proteobacteria bacterium partial 16S ribosomal RNA
Rfam family: Bacterial small subunit ribosomal RNA
Source: RNAcentral
UGGGGAAUAUUGGACAAUGGGGGGAACCCUGAUCCAGCCAUGCCGCGUGUGUGAAGAAGGCCUUAUGGUUGUAAAGCACUUUAAGCGAGGAGGAGGGUACUGGUAUUAAUACUACCAGGUACUGGACGUUACUCGCAGAAUAAGCACCGGCUAACUCUGUGCCAGCAGCCGCGGUAAUACAGAGGGUGCGAGCGUUAAUCGGAUUUACUGGGCGUAAAGCGUGCGUAGGCGGCUAAUUGAGUCGGAUGUGAAAUCCCCGAGCUUAACUUGGGAAUUGCAUUCGAUACUGGUUAGCUAGAGUGUGGGAGAGGAUGGUAGAAUUCCAGGUGUAGCGGUGAAAUGCGUAGAGAUCUGGAGGAAUACCGAUGGCGAAGGCAACCAUCUGGCCUAACACUGACGCUGAGGUACGAAAGCAUGGGGAGCAAACAGG